This 252-nucleotide ribosomal RNA is filed under the name uncultured bacterium. Its description in RNAcentral is "partial 16S ribosomal RNA". It matches the Rfam family "Bacterial small subunit ribosomal RNA", at positions 525 to 776 of the family's 1533-position model. The record is from RNAcentral.
ACGGAGGAUGCAAGCGUUAUCCGGAAUGAUUGGGCGUAAAGGGUCCGCAGGUGGCAUUGUAAGUCUGCUGUUAAAGAGUUUGGCUCAACCAAAUAAGAGCAGUGGAAACUACAAAGCUAGAGUGUGGUCGGGGCAGAGGGAAUUCCUGGUGUAGCGGUGAAAUGCGUAGAUAUCAGGAAGAACACCAGUGGCGAAGGCGCUCUGCUAGGCCGAGACUGACACUGAGGGACGAAAGCUAGGGGAGCGAAUGGG